Molecule: ribosomal RNA, 488 nt
Filed under: uncultured bacterium
Lineage: Bacteria
Description: partial 16S ribosomal RNA
Rfam family: Bacterial small subunit ribosomal RNA
Source: RNAcentral
GACGAACGCUGGCGGCGUGCUUAACACAUGCAAGUCGAACGAAAAUACCAAGCUUGCUUGGUUGAUUAGUGGCGAACGGGUGAGUAACACGUGAGUAACCUGCCCCUUACUUUCCUGGAUAACUGCUCGAAAGGGUAGCUAAUACGGGAUAUUCUGACCAGCCUGCAUGGGGUGGUUUGGAAAGGUUGUUUUUCUGGUAAGGGAUGGGCUCGCGGCCUAUCAGCUUGUUGGUGGGGUGAUGGCCUACCAAGGCUUUGACGGGUAGCCGGCCUGAGAGGGUGGACGGUCACACGGGGACUGAGAUACGGCCCAGACUCCUACGGGAGGCAGCAGUGGGGAAUAUUGCACAAUGGGCGCAAGCCUGAUGCAGCGACGCCGCGUGAGGGAUGAAGGCCUUCGGGUUGUAAACCUCUUUCGUCAGGGAACAAGGCACUGCUUUUUUGGUGGUGUUGAGGGUACCUGGAUAAGAAGCGCCGGCUAACUACGUG